This 1509-nucleotide unclassified non-coding RNA is filed under the name uncultured fungus. RNAcentral describes it as "sequence contains 18S rRNA gene, ITS1, 5.8S rRNA gene, ITS2, 28S rRNA gene". The stretch from base 540 to 1509 matches the Rfam family "Eukaryotic large subunit ribosomal RNA", at positions 1 to 961 of the family's 3401-position model. Lineage: Eukaryota; Fungi. The record is from RNAcentral.
GGAAGGAUCAUUAUUGAUUAUGAAUCGUUGCCUUCAGUGCUGGCUCCGGCAAGUGCACGUUGGUGACUUUCAUCCAACACCCUUGUGAACCUUUGGCCUCUUGCUAGCUUCGGCUGGCAGAGGAUUUUUUACACCAACUCGAAUGUAAUGAAAUUAUUGUCGUGCGCAAGCACUAAUGUACAACUUUCAACAACGGAUCUCUUGGCUCUCGCAUCGAUGAAGAACGCAGCGAAAUGCGAUAAGUAAUGUGAAUUGCAGAAUUCAGUGAAUCAUCGAAUCUUUGAACGCACCUUGCACCCUUUGGCAUUCCGAAGGGUAUGCUCGUUUGAGUGUCAUUGUACUCUCACACUUCUGAUCUUUUGGACCAGGAGCGGUGGACUUGGGUGUUGCUGCUUUACUGUGGCUCACCUCAAAUGCAUUAGUGCAACUCUUGGUUGGACAUAGUACGGCGUGAUAAGUGUCUUCGCCGGCACCUCGUUAGAGGGUGACCAAUCAGGAGCUCUGUGCUUCAAACCGUCUUUGGACAAUGACUGACAACUUGACCUCAAAUCGAGUAGGACUACCCGCUGAACUUAAGCAUAUCAAUAAGCGGAGGAAAAGAAACUAACAAGGAUUCCCCUAGUAACGGCGAGUGAAGAGGGAAGAGCUCAAAUUUUGAAUCUGGCGUCUUUGGCGUCCGAAUUGUAAUCUAGAGAAGCGUUUUCCGUGACGGACCGUGCAUAAGUCUCCUGGAAUGGAGCGUCAUAGAGGGUGAGAAUCCCGUAUAUGGCAUGGACUCCCGUUGCUCUGUGAUACACUCUCAACGAGUCGAGUUGUUUGGGAAUGCAGCUCCAAAUGGGUGGUAAAUGCCAUCUAAAGCUAAAUAUUGGCGAGAGACCGAUAGCGAACAAGUACCGUGAGGGAAAGAUGAAAAGCACUUUGGAAAGAGAGUGAAACAGUACGUGAAAUUGUUGAAAGGGAAACGCUUGAAGUCAGUCGCGCCGUUCGGGAUUCAGCCUUGCUUCUGCUCGGUUUACUUCCCGUUGGGUGGGUCAACAUCAGUUUUGGUCGGAGGAGAAAGGCUUGGGGAAGGUAGCAGCAUUCGUGCUGUGUUAUAGCCCCUUGUUGUAUACUUCGACUGGGACUGAGGACCGCAGCACGCCUUUGGCCGGGGUUCGCCCACGUACGUGCUUAGGAUGUUGGCAUAAUGGCUUUAAGCGACCCGUCUUGAAACACGGACCAAGGAGUCUAACAUGUGCGCGAGUGUUUGGGUGUUAAACUCGGACGCGAAAUGAAAGUGAAAAGUUGGGAACACUUAUGUGUGCACCGACGCCCGGAGCUGACCUUCUGUGACGCAUCUGCGGUAGAGCGUAUAUGUUGGGACCCGAAAGAUGGUGAACUAUGCCUGAAUAGGGUGAAGCCAGAGGAAACUCUGGUGGAGGCUCGUAGCGAUUCUGACGUGCAAAUCGAUCGUCAAAUUUGGGUAUAGGGGCGAAAGACUAAUCGAACCAUCUAGUAGCUGGUUCCUGC